UACGUAGGGUGCAAGCGUUAAUCGGAAUUACUGGGCGUAAAGCGCACGUAGGCGGCUUUGUAAGUUAGAGGUGAAAGCCCAGGGCUUAACCCUGGAAUUGCCUUUAAGACUGCAUCGCUAGAAUCGUGGAGAGGUAAGUGGAAUUCCGAGUGUAGAGGUGAAAUUCGUAGAUAUUCGGAAGAACACCAGUGGCGAAGGCGACUUACUGGACACGUAUUGACGCUGAGGUGCGAAAGCGUGGGGAGCAAACAGG
Molecule: ribosomal RNA, 253 nt
Filed under: uncultured bacterium
Lineage: Bacteria
Description: partial 16S ribosomal RNA
Rfam family: Bacterial small subunit ribosomal RNA
Source: RNAcentral